GUGCUCGCUUCGGCAGCACAUAUACAAAAU
Molecule: small nuclear RNA, 30 nt
Filed under: Cervus elaphus hippelaphus
Lineage: Eukaryota; Metazoa; Chordata; Mammalia; Artiodactyla; Cervidae
Source: RNAcentral